AUGCUGUUUCAAAUUUUAGCCUUUAGGCAUGACAUUGAGUGUCACUUACUAAAUAGCAUUCUCCAAAAGCCCAUCUAUAAGUUGCCUUCUAUUUACCAUCUUUCAGAGUAUCACGCAGUGUUGAUUUCUGAAUUCUUCUUCCUCUAGGAAAUCAUCCAGAAAGAUUAGAAAGCAUCAAUAUGUUUUGUUUACUUGAUGGCUUCAGUCCACAACCACUCUCAGCUCUCAGAGGCAACCUUUAGGUCCUGGCUGUGUGGCCCCUUCCACAAUCACUCCCACAGCCCAGUAGCUUACUUCUUCAAGGCCAACAGGAGAGCAUCUCUGUGCUUAAGUAAGGCAAAAGCCUUCCAACUAAGAGCUUACCUUCAAAACCCAGAGACUCUCCUUUUUAUUAACUCAAAGUCAACUGAUUAGAGCCCUUAAUUACAUCUAAAACGUUCCUUCUCUUUUGCUCUGUGAGUUGAAGUAUCCUGACAUAUUCACAGAUCCCACCCACACUCAAGGGGAGAGGAUUAUACAAGGGCACAGGUCAUCAGAAGCCAUCUUAGAAUUCUAACUGCCACAGUACCCUUCCCAACCCUUUCCAGUUUCUCUACCCUAGUCUCACUCAUCUUUGAUGUUGACUAAAAAUCAGACAUAAAUUUGAUCUGUGGUUGGUGUUGACAUAUUUCAAUGGCAUAUGGGAAAAGCAUAGACACAUGAAUUUGAGAAAGCCCUGAAUUUAAAUCCUGCCUUCACUAUUUAUUGGCUAUGGGGUCUACGUCACAAGUUAGACAUCCUUUGGAGAGCUAUGUGGCAGAUUUUGUUUCACCAGUAUUCUACAUGGUGGAUCAGCUAGCAGUGGAUGUGAAAAUCGCUCAGGACCUGAAUGGUCCUCUGCCUGGCUGAGGCAACAUUACUGUAGCAUCUUUGCUAGUCCAGUGGAGGGAAGCCAGAGGAAGCUGGCUAUUUGCAGAACUGGUUUGGAAUUUCAGAGCACAGCACAAAUGAUUGGAAGGUCAUUUAUGAAGUUACUGUUGUAACCUCUGUGAAUAAAAUAGUAACAAUAAUAGACUAAAAUGUAUUGAUUCUCUACAAUACGCUUCUUGCAACUGUUUUAUGAGAGACCUUUGAGAAAGAAAUGGUUUCAAGGAACUAUCCAUUGAACUGGAUUUUUGGAAUGUAUACAAGUGAAAGGACUCAACAUUCUCUAAUAUUUCAUCUUUGAGAAUGGACUACUGGAAGGAAUUCCAUCAACAAUAUUUAUUGAUUAUCCUCUAUGUUUAACGAUUUUGUGUUUGUUCCUGGCAAGCUUUACAUUGUGAAUGUGCAAAAGCAUAUCACGUAGAUUUCCCAUAUUCAAACAUUUGUAAACAUGUUGGAAACUCUCUUUCCUUCUUUCCCUGCCCUUCCCCAAAAUGUAGCAGAUUGUUUCUAUUAUUUCUAAAUAAAAUAGACUCAUUCAACUUUCAGUAAAAAAAUCCUAUUGAGCAUCUCUUACGUGCCAGACACUGUUCUAGAUUAUGGAACACAGCAGCAAACAAAACUUUGAAACAUCUCAGCACUCUUGAAACUUACAUUCUUGUAAAAACAGAAAAUUAUUUGUCUAAAAAAUAUGGGUACUAGUGGCCAGAAACACAAAUAUACCAAACAGGUGACUAAAAGGAUGAUUAAUUAAUAUCCAUUCAGAAAACAAACAUUAGCUGAGCAUUAGACUUGAAAUCAAAUGAGGCAAGUCCAUUUUGGUUUGCCCCUUAGCUCCACAUUGCAUAUU
Molecule: long non-coding RNA, 1753 nt
Organism: Equus caballus (horse)
Lineage: Eukaryota; Metazoa; Chordata; Mammalia; Perissodactyla; Equidae
Source: RefSeq, a predicted model, not a curated record